This is a long non-coding RNA of Drosophila sulfurigaster albostrigata, 651 nucleotides long. RefSeq lists it as uncharacterized. The transcript is spliced from 4 exons. NCBI's taxonomy places the organism in Eukaryota, Metazoa, Arthropoda, Insecta, Diptera, Drosophilidae. The record is from RefSeq and is a predicted model, not a curated record.
UCUUUAGUUCCAUUGCUGACUGUUUGAUUGCGUGAUUAUACGAGCUCUGAGUCAUUCUCAGGAACAAGCUUAAUCUAUAUACACCACCCAUACAGCUUGAUUGCAGUUGCAUCGGCGACUCAUUUUAAAGUAAUGUGUUGAGUUUGUGUUCCUGAUACGACACUGAAUAACAGAAUAUAUUGGAUAACACUGCCAAUAAUGCACAACUGUGAAAUGUCGCGGCUCAGCUUGAAGCUUGCAUUGCAACUACUUGCAUUGUAACUAUUGCUGAUGAUGGUGCACACCGAGAUCAUUGAUCAAAGCAUUGAUGAGCCCGAGGGACUCAAUGUCUGCAAAAACGCGAAAACUACAAUGUGAAGGUGGUCAUUACUGAACUCCAGUCAUUCCAGGAGCGUGGUUCCACGUGGUGCCUCAAUAUUCCGCCUAGCUGUCCCACCUACCGCAUAAAACAUCGUGUGGUGAACAAAACUCAGACUUUAACCAAAGCUCGCAUAGUGCGUGACUGUUGUGAUGGAUACGUACGCCAGGGUAACCAGUGUGUUCCUCAUUGUAGUCAGCCCUGCCAACAUGGUGAAUGUGUAGCUCCAGAGAAGUGCAAGUGCACAGAAGGCUAUGAAGGACCUGUCUGCAAUAUAACUUGGGCUAGCACAC